ACCACUCUUCACUCCUGCAGUCUGGGAGUGUGUCACCACCCGCAGCUCAGCGAGCUGGCCAGGAAUAUGUUAUACUCCUUUUACUCCCGCUGUUUGGCAGGUCCCAAGUUCUUGUUUCGCAUCCAGGAAGAAUGAGGUUAUGUGGAUAACUGGAGGGGUCUCACUGUCGCCCAGGCUGAAGUGCAGUGGCGUGAUCACGGCUCAUGGCAGCCUCAACCUCUCCAACCUCUCGGGCUCAAGCGAUACUUCCACCUCCACCUCCUGCGUAGCUGGGACUACAGGCACGUAACACUAUGCCCAGCUAAUACAUAAAUCAUACCUCC
Homo sapiens (human) is the source of this 323-nucleotide long non-coding RNA. RefSeq lists it as uncharacterized. NCBI's taxonomy places the organism in Eukaryota, Metazoa, Chordata, Mammalia, Primates, Hominidae. The record is from RefSeq and is a predicted model, not a curated record. The transcript has 2 exons.